ACUCAGGGCAAGCCUGGCCUCCCAAAUGUUGCACGAGGGGACCACGACUCCCAACAUGCUGCACAGCCAAGGCGACCCCUACCGCAGCCUUUCUCCAGCGGGCUUCUAGACGAACCCCCUAGAGACCUUAGAGCCGAGGGAAGGCCGGGACGGAAAGCGGACUAAGCUGGCUUGAAGGACUAAUACCAUUGGAUGCCGCCCGCCAUGUGGCGGAGCGUGGUGCCUGCUGGGAGGUGUAGUCCUGGCGGGGGGUGGGGUUCCGCUCCCACGUUCCUGGGCUCGCUCUGCGCCCUGCCCCCUGCGCGGGAAAACGCCAACGGCUAGCAGCGAGAGCCUCGGCAAGGCGGAAGGUGCGCCCACUUUUAGUCUUUUUCAGUGCGGUUUUACUUUUGCCCUCCCAAGCCCCUUCUGGGUGAAAAGACUAGAAUCUACUGAACGCCUACUCCAAGUCAGCCGUUUAUUUCUGUUAUAUCAUAUAAUCAACUCCUUGAGUCCAGGAUUUUCCCUAUUUAAGGAUUUAAAAAAAGAACCUUAGAGUUGUUUGUUGACCGAAGAGACCCAGGUUUUCUGUCUUUAGAAAAUUAAUGACCUCCUCUCAAUAGGAUCUGACCUGUUGUCAACUCCAAGAAUUACGAAUAAAUAAGAUGAUGGUUUAUAAUUGUA
Molecule: long non-coding RNA, 663 nt
Filed under: Homo sapiens (human)
Lineage: Eukaryota; Metazoa; Chordata; Mammalia; Primates; Hominidae
Description: novel transcript, antisense to UBAP2
Source: RNAcentral